Molecule: ribosomal RNA, 1415 nt
Filed under: Salmonella enterica subsp. enterica serovar Enteritidis
Lineage: Bacteria; Pseudomonadati; Pseudomonadota; Gammaproteobacteria; Enterobacterales; Enterobacteriaceae
Description: bacterial LSU rRNA
Rfam family: Bacterial large subunit ribosomal RNA
Source: RNAcentral
AGGUAAAUCCGGUUCACUUUAACACUGAGGCGUGACGACGAGGCACUACGGUGCUGAAGCAACAAAUGCCCUGCUUCCAGGAAAAGCCUCUAAGCAUCAGGUAACAUCAAAUCGUACCCCAAACCGACACAGGUGGUCAGGUAGAGAAUACCAAGGCGCUUGAGAGAACUCGGGUGAAGGAACUAGGCAAAAUGGUGCCGUAACUUCGGGAGAAGGCACGCUGACACGUAGGUGAAGUGAUUUACUCAUGGAGCUGAAGUCAGUCGAAGAUACCAGCUGGCUGCAACUGUUUAUUAAAAACACAGCACUGUGCAAACACGAAAGUGGACGUAUACGGUGUGACGCCUGCCCGGUGCCGGAAGGUUAAUUGAUGGGGUCAGCGCAAGCGAAGCUCCUGAUCGAAGCCCCGGUAAACGGCGGCCGUAACUAUAACGGUCCUAAGGUAGCGAAAUUCCUUGUCGGGUAAGUUCCGACCUGCACGAAUGGCGUAAUGAUGGCCAGGCUGUCUCCACCCGAGACUCAGUGAAAUUGAACUCGCUGUGAAGAUGCAGUGUACCCGCGGCAAGACGGAAAGACCCCGUGAACCUUUACUAUAGCUUGACACUGAACAUUGAGCCUUGAUGUGUAGGAUAGGUGGGAGGCUUUGAAGUGUGGACGCCAGUCUGCAUGGAGCCGACCUUGAAAUACCACCCUUUAAUGUUUGAUGUUCUAACGUGGACCCGUUACCCGGGUUGCGGACAGUGUCUGGUGGGUAGUUUGACUGGGGCGGUCUCCUCCUAAAGAGUAACGGAGGAGCACGAAGGUUGGCUAAUCCUGGUCGGACAUCAGGAGGUUAGUGCAAUGGCAUAAGCCAGCUUGACUGCGAGCGUGACGGCGCGAGCAGGUGCGAAAGCAGGUCAUAGUGAUCCGGUGGUUCUGAAUGGAAGGGCCAUCGCUCAACGGAUAAAAGGUACUCCGGGGAUAACAGGCUGAUACCGCCCAAGAGUUCAUAUCGACGGCGGUGUUUGGCACCUCGAUGUCGGCUCAUCACAUCCUGGGGCUGAAGUAGGUCCCAAGGGUAUGGCUGUUCGCCAUUUAAAGUGGUACGCGAGCUGGGUUUAGAACGUCGUGAGACAGUUCGGUCCCUAUCUGCCGUGGGCGCUGGAGAACUGAGGGGGGCUGCUCCUAGUACGAGAGGACCGGAGUGGACGCAUCACUGGUGUUCGGGUUGUCAUGCCAAUGGCACUGCCCGGUAGCUAAAUGCGGAAGAGAUAAGUGCUGAAAGCAUCUAAGCACGAAACUUGCCCCGAGAUGAGUUCUCCCUGAGACUUAGAGUCUCCUGAAGGAACGUUGAAGACGACGACGUUGAUAGGCCGGGUGUGUAAGCGCAGCGAUGCGUUGAGCUAACCGGUACUAAUGAACCGUGAGGCUUAACC